Molecule: ribosomal RNA, 398 nt
Filed under: Imbricatea sp.
Lineage: Eukaryota; Cercozoa; Imbricatea
Description: partial small subunit ribosomal RNA
Rfam family: Eukaryotic small subunit ribosomal RNA
Source: RNAcentral
AUUCCAGCUCCAGUAGCGUAUAUUAAUGUUGUUGCAGUUAAAAAGCUCGUAGUUGGAUUUCUGACUUGACGCGCCUGGCCCGCCUUGCAUUUCGCGGGUGAGUGCCGGAGCGCGUCGGUCAUCCUUCUAGAGAACGGCGCUACCCUACACUGGGUCGGCGUCGCAAUCUAGAUCUUUUACUUUGAAAAAAUUAGAGUGUUCAAGGCAGGCUCGCGCUGUGAAUACAUUAGCAUGGAAUAAUAAUCUAGGACUUUGUUCCUAUUUUGUUGGUUUCUAGGAAUUAAGUAAUGAUUGAUAGGGAUAGUUGGGGGUGCUAGUAUUCAGCGGCCAGAGGUGAAAUCCUUGGAUUCGCUGAAGACUAACUUAUGCGAAAGCAUUCACCAAGGAUGUCUUCAUCA